AAAAAGGUACAUAAGGGCAAUAAUAGUGGAUGCCUUGACAAUCAAUACCGAUGAAGGACGUAGGACUCUGCGAUAAGCCUCGGGGAGCUGAGAACAAGCUUUAAUCCGGGGAUUUCCGAAUGGGGAAACCUAAUAUGGGUCAUGCCAUAUUGUCAUUAUCUGAACACAUAGGAUAAUUGAACGGGAACCAGCCGAACUGAAUCAUCUUAGUAGGUUGAGGAAAAGAGAAUAACCAAUGAUUCCGAAAGUAGUGGCGAGCGAAAUUGGAUCAGCCCAAACCUUAAGAUAACCUAACGGUUUAACGGCCUGAGUUAUUAAAGGGGUUGCGAAAUUAGAUAAUUUUCAAGUUGAGAUUUUCGUUUUCGGAGAUUUCAACUUGAGAACCAUCAUCGUUAAAUGAAUGGAUAAUGUUAAAAAACUUAGAUCGUAGCGGAAGCGUUUGAAUGGCGCGCCAAAGAGGGUGAAAGCCCCGUAUGCGAAACGGUCUUUGUCAUUAUAUAUCUUUUUUCAAGUAGGACGGGGCACGAGAAACCCUGUUUGAAUCCG
RNAcentral lists this ribosomal RNA (546 nucleotides) under Candidatus Saccharimonadota bacterium. RNAcentral describes it as "partial 23S ribosomal RNA". It matches the Rfam family "Bacterial large subunit ribosomal RNA", at positions 1 to 446 of the family's 2925-position model. Lineage: Bacteria; Candidatus Saccharimonadota. The record is from RNAcentral.